Molecule: ribosomal RNA, 317 nt
Filed under: uncultured bacterium
Lineage: Bacteria
Description: bacterial SSU rRNA
Rfam family: Bacterial small subunit ribosomal RNA
Source: RNAcentral
GAUGAACGCUAGCUACAGGCUUAACACAUGCAAGUCGAGGGGCAGCAUGAAAGGAACUUCGGUUCUUUUUGAUGGCGACCGGCGCACGGGUGCGUAACGCGUAUCGAACCUGCCUCAUACUCGGGGAUAGCCUUGCGAAAGUAAGAUUAAUACCCGGCGGUCUCGGAUGGCCGCAUGACUAUCCGAGUGAAGAUUUAUCGGUAUGAGGUGGCGAUGCGUCCCAUUAGCUAGUUGGUGAGGUAAUGGCUCACCAAGGCUACGAUCGGUAGGGGUUCUGAGAGGAAGGUCCCCCACACUGGAACUGAGACACGGUCCAG